GUUGCUCAGAAAUACGUCAGAAAAACCUACUGUAUGAAGAGGUAGUGACCAAAAAGUGAGAAACAGAUGACGGGACCAGCGUGGUUGAGGUCGCCUAAGGCCGGCGAGUCGACGAGAAGAAGCGCGUGAAGGCGCGUGUACCGGAGUCUUUCGGUCAGUGGAGAGGCCGAUCCUGUGCUUGAUAAUCCACUAGGUUAGGCUGUGACAGCCACGGACUCCCAGAAAGUGACUGGAAAAAGGGGGAAAAUUCAUCCCUAUGAGGACUUUGUUUCAGA
RNAcentral lists this unclassified non-coding RNA (275 nucleotides) under Hevea brasiliensis (rubber tree). Lineage: Eukaryota; Viridiplantae; Streptophyta; Magnoliopsida; Malpighiales; Euphorbiaceae. The record is from RNAcentral.